GAUGAACGCUGGCGGCGUGCCUAAUACAUGCAAGUCGAGCGAACAGAUAAGGAGCUUGCUCCUUUGACGUUAGCGGCGGACGGGUGAGUAACACGUGGGUAACCUACCUAUAAGACUGGGAUAACUUCGGGAAACCGGAGCUAAUACCGGAUAACAUUUGGAACCGCAUGGUUCUAAAGUGAAAGAUGGUUUUGCUAUCACUUAUAGAUGGACCCGCGCCGUAUUAGCUAGUUGGUAAGGUAACGGCUUACCAAGGCAACGAUACGUAGCCGACCUGAGAGGGUGAUCGGCCACACUGGAACUGAGACACGGUCCAGACUCCUACGGGAGGCAGCAGUAGGGAAUCUUCCGCAAAGGGCGAAAGCCUGACGGAGCAACGCCGCGUGAGUGAUGAAGGGUUUCGGCUCGUAAAACUCUGUUACUAGGGAAGAACAAAUGUGUAAGUAACUGUGCACGUCUUGACGGUACCUAAUCAGAAAGCCACGGCUAACUACGUG
RNAcentral lists this ribosomal RNA (497 nucleotides) under uncultured bacterium. RNAcentral's name for it is "partial 16S ribosomal RNA". It matches the Rfam family "Bacterial small subunit ribosomal RNA", at positions 28 to 507 of the family's 1533-position model. The record is from RNAcentral.